This 69-nucleotide transfer RNA is filed under the name human oral metagenome. It matches the Rfam family "tRNA". From Rfam's summary of the family: Transfer RNA (tRNA) molecules are approximately 80 nucleotides in length. Their secondary structure includes four short double-helical elements and three loops (D, anti-codon, and T loops). Further hydrogen bonds mediate the characteristic L-shaped molecular structure. tRNAs have two regions of fundamental functional importance: the anti-codon, which is responsible for specific mRNA codon recognition, and the 3' end, to which the tRNAs corresponding amino acid is attached (by aminoacyl-tRNA synthetases). tRNAs cope with the degeneracy of the genetic code in two manners: having more than one tRNA (with a specific anti-codon) for a particular amino acid; and 'wobble' base-pairing, i.e. permitting non-standard base-pairing at the 3rd anti-codon position. The record is from RNAcentral.
GGAUAUAGCUCAGUUUGGUUAGAGCGCUGGUUUGUGGCACCGGAGGCCGUGAGUUCAAGUCUCAUUAUC